Molecule: ribosomal RNA, 429 nt
Filed under: uncultured bacterium
Lineage: Bacteria
Description: bacterial SSU rRNA
Rfam family: Bacterial small subunit ribosomal RNA
Source: RNAcentral
UGGGGAAUAUUGGGCAAUGGGCGAAAGCCUGACCCAGCGACGCCGCGUGGGUGAUGAAGGCCUUCGGGUUGUAAAACCCUUUCGUGCGGAAAGAAUAGUCCUGUAGCGAAUAACUACGGGAUUUGACGGUACCGCAGGAAGAAGCACCGGCUAACUCCGUGCCAGCAGCCGCGGUAAUACGGAGGGUGCAAGCGUUGUUCGGAAUUAUUGGGCGUAAAGGGCGCGUAGGUGGUUGUGAUAGUCAGAUGUGAAAUCCUUCGGCUCAACCGAAGGACUGCAUCUGGAACUUCAUAGCUCGAGUACAGGAGAGGGAAACGGGAUUCCCGGUGUAGAGGUGAAAUUCGUAGAUAUCGGGAGGAACACCAGUGGCGAAGGCGGUUUCCUGGCCUGAUACUGACGCUGAGGCGCGAAAGCGUGGGGAGCAAACAG